RNAcentral lists this long non-coding RNA (480 nucleotides) under Arabidopsis lyrata. RNAcentral describes it as "long non-coding RNA (ALYR_LNC000730)". Lineage: Eukaryota; Viridiplantae; Streptophyta; Magnoliopsida; Brassicales; Brassicaceae. The record is from RNAcentral.
UCGUAAGAGUAUGGGAUAGUGUGAUUGCAUACAAAGAUGAUAUGAGUUUCAGCUAUUUUCUAUUCAGAUACUUUGGAUUCUUGUCAAUGUAUAUUUACGUUUUAAAAUUGAUUUGUUGUUUUGGUCCCUCAGAUCCACCACACACUACAUUCAAAGGACGAUCAUUCUUGCUUGCCAAUUUGCCAUCAUGACAUUAGUGAUGAGCGUAUCUAUGUUUUAUAACUGUUACACAUGGCAGAGGUGGGAUGUUUAUUUUCUUACGUUAAGUGCUAUUAUCGCUACAAUCUCAUUAUCUCAAUUGAUUUACGGCAUGGAUGGGCUUGAGGCUGGUUAUAUUGUAUGGAUAACCAUCUUUGGAUCUGCUUGGGGAAUUUUCGGUCUAUAUUUUGAUAUUACAUCAGGAUCAAUUAUCUGUACUUUCUUCAUCACCGCAAUGUUUCAAAUGGCGUUCACAUCAGUAGUUUAUACGGACGCGGUUUU